CGAAUGGAAAUACCUUGACUAUGUAUGGCAAAGUACGGAUCAAAAACAAGAUACCAUCGAACAGGGUGUUUACAACCACUCGAGAAUCUUGAUGUUUGACCAUUACAGCCACUGCCAGAUGGCCGACGAAUGGUAACAACUCCGAAAUUCUACAAUAACCCGGCAACUCUAUCGACGAUUUCGGAGGCAACCGGCGACGGUGGUCCAUUGCUGAUGAAACGGAAUUGGUGUGUUGGAAUCUACAGAAUCCUCUAGGUAACGACUACGUCGGUGUUCUGGAGCAGAGUGAAACUACCUUGCAGUAUAUUUCCAGCGUCAAGCCCAUAAUAGAAGACGGUAGUGACAUCGAGACAGUCUGGGUAUUGACGAAUAGAUUCCAGAAGUACGUAUUGGGCACGAUGAAUUUCGACGAGAUAAACUUCAGAAUGAUAACGGCCGACGUCGCUGCCCUUGUCAAAGACACUGUAUGCGAACCGGAGGAUCACGAAGUUUUGGAUAGUAUACUUGAUAUAAAUUUUCUUUACCUGAAAACUGUAUCCGUAUAAACUGUCACCGACCGUAUUAGCGUGGCGCGUAGCGUGCGAAACUAAAUUCUUGGUAAGGAAUAUUUCGCAUUCUUAGACUACUUCGGUAGCUACAAAAACUCGGGUAUAUUCGUUUUUCAGUUGUAUUAAAAUGUCACAAAAUAAAGUUUUUCAACAAUCAUA
Neodiprion fabricii is the source of this 707-nucleotide long non-coding RNA. RefSeq lists it as uncharacterized. Lineage: Eukaryota; Metazoa; Arthropoda; Insecta; Hymenoptera; Diprionidae. The transcript is spliced from 3 exons. The record is from RefSeq and is a predicted model, not a curated record.